UCCGCGAGUAAAGUGGCGACCGGGUGAGUAACACGUGACUAACCUGCCCUCGAGCGGGGGAUAACCCCGGGAAACCGGGGCUAAUACCGCAUAACAUCUUCGAUAUGAAAGUAUUGAGGAUCAAAGGAGCAAUUCACUUGAGGAGGGGGUCGCGGCCGAUUAGCUAGUUGGCGGGGUAACGGCCCACCAAGGCUGAGAUCGGUACCCGGCCUGAGAGGGCGCACGGCCACACUGGAACUGAAACACGGUCCAGACUCCUACGGGAGGCAGCAGUGGGGAAUUUUGCGCAAUGGGGGGAACCCUGACGCAGCAACGCCGCGUGGAGGAUGAAGUCCCUUGGGACGUAAACUCCUUUCGACCGGGAAGAUAAUGACGGUACCGGAAGAAGAAGCACCGGCUAACUCUGUGCCAGCAGCCGCGGUAAUACAGAGGGUGCGAGCGUUGUUCGGAAUUAUUGGGCGUAAAGGGCCGCGU
This 474-nucleotide ribosomal RNA is filed under the name uncultured bacterium. RNAcentral describes it as "bacterial SSU rRNA". It matches the Rfam family "Bacterial small subunit ribosomal RNA", at positions 83 to 572 of the family's 1533-position model. The record is from RNAcentral.